UACGAAGGGGGGCUAGCGUUGUUCGGAUUUACUGGGCGUAAAGCGCACGUAGGCGGAUUGUUAAGUCAGGGGUGAAAUCCCGGAGCUCAACUCCGGAACUGCCUUUGAUACUGGCAAUCUAGAGUCCGGAAGAGGUGAGUGGAACUCCUAGUGUAGAGGUGGAAUUCGUAGAUAUUAGGAAGAACACCAGUGGCGAAGGCGGCUCACUGGUCCGGCACUGACGCUGAGGUGCGAAAGCGUGGGGAGCAAACAGG
Molecule: ribosomal RNA, 254 nt
Filed under: uncultured bacterium
Lineage: Bacteria
Description: partial 16S ribosomal RNA
Rfam family: Bacterial small subunit ribosomal RNA
Source: RNAcentral